CCUACGGGAGGCAGCAGUGGGGAAUAUUGGACAAUGGGGGGAACCCUGAUCCAGCGACGCCGCGUGAGUGAAGAAGUAUUUCGGUAUGUAAAGCUCUAUCAGCAGGGAAGAAAGAAAUGACGGUACCUGACUAAGAAGCCCCGGCUAACUACGUGCCAGCAGCCGCGGUAAGACGUAGGGGGCAAGCGUUAUACGGAUUUACUGGGUGUAAAGGGAGCGUAGACGGCGAUGCAAGUCUGAAGUGAAAGGCCGGGGCCCAACCUCCGGACUGCUUUGGAAACUGUAGGGCUGGAGUGCAGGAGAGGUAAGUGGAAUUCCUAGUGUAGCGGUGAAAUGCGUAGAUAUUAGGAGGAACACCAGUGGCGAAGGCGGCUUACUGGACUGUAACUGACGUUGAGGCUCGAAAGCGUGGGGAGCAAACAGGAUUAGAUACCCGAGUAGUC
RNAcentral lists this ribosomal RNA (443 nucleotides) under uncultured bacterium. Its description in RNAcentral is "partial 16S ribosomal RNA". It matches the Rfam family "Bacterial small subunit ribosomal RNA", at positions 338 to 795 of the family's 1533-position model. The record is from RNAcentral.